AAAGGACGCCGAGGGACAGAACCGAGCACGACGGCCCAUCUCAUUACAUCCUUAUAAAACCUCUUUAGAACAAACUCAGGAAAUCCGAAUAGAGAAAAAAAGAAGGCCCCACACAGACACGAGCAGUCACCGUAUGAUGAAGAAGUAUCUAUAUGGACGCAGACAACUUUUAAAUUCUGCCUCCCUGGUUUUGCAACUUUGCUGGAUGCUGGGGGUACAGCCAAGGUUAAACUUAACAUUUGCCUCACAAACUGAAGACAAAAAGUUGCAGAAUCUCACAGAAUAAAAGAGGAAUGGACCUAA
RNAcentral lists this long non-coding RNA (303 nucleotides) under Rattus norvegicus (Norway rat). Its description in RNAcentral is "long non-coding RNA NONRATT016728". Lineage: Eukaryota; Metazoa; Chordata; Mammalia; Rodentia; Muridae. The record is from RNAcentral.